Long non-coding RNA from Etheostoma spectabile (orangethroat darter), 662 nucleotides. RefSeq lists it as uncharacterized. The record is from RefSeq and is a predicted model, not a curated record. Lineage: Eukaryota; Metazoa; Chordata; Actinopteri; Perciformes; Percidae. The transcript is spliced from 4 exons.
AUUCUCUUUCCCAAAGAUACCAUAAGACUUCUAGAGCUCUAAAUGUCCAGUUGGGGGACCUGGAAACUCUGAAAGCCAAGCUUCAACUGCAAGAAAAAACAUGGAGGAAUUUGUGCAAGAUGUGAAAGACUGGGCAGAUGGAGAAACAAACCACCAAGACACGACACAGGCUUUGUGUCAGAAGAUUGAGGCCCUCACAUCAAGUAUAAAAACAAGAUCUCAACGCCUCUACAAAACAAAUGACAGCAACAAAUGUCGACACAGAAUUAGACGGAAAAUAAGGCAAGAAAAGACCACUUUGCAGACCAUGCUAGCCAAGUACAACAGCCUUGUAACACCCGAGCAAGCAGUUUGCAUGGAUCAUAUUCUGGACACAGAACAUCCCUGGCCUUGGCAAAUAACACAAGAAGGUACGCAUAAUAUGUAUUCUGUUCGUGCUAUAGUAUCUAUAAAGUAAGGAAUCACUGUCUGUGUCUGUUCUUUGCUUUUCUCAACAACCAACUCAUCCCAAUAACGAGGUGGGUUAUUGCUAUGUCAAGUUAUUUGGAUGUGAAAUGUUAAAGAUUUCAUUAAAAGACAUUAACCUCUCCAAAAUGGUGUUUGACUCUGGAAGCUGUGUGCCUGCAAGCGAGAAAGCAUUUUUUUCUACAGGCACCACAGUA